GAGGAAUAUUGGUCAAUGGGCGAGAGCCUGAACCAGCCAAGUCGCGUGAAGAAAGACUGCCUUAUGGGUUGUAAACUCCUUUAAUACAGGAUUAAAACGCCUUACGUGUAGGCCAUUGCACGUACUGUAUGAAUAAGCAUCGCAUAAUCCCUGGCCAGCAGCCGCGGUAAUACGGAGGAUGCGAGCGUUAUCCGGAUUUAUUGGGUUUAAAGGGUGCGCAGGCGGGCUUUUAAGUCAGCGGUGAAAUCUGGACGCUUAACGUCCAAACUGCCGUUGAAACUGGGAGUCUUGAGUAUGGAUGAAGUAGGCGGAAUUCGUUGUGUAGCGGUGACAUGCAUAGAUAUAACGAGGAACUCCGAUUGCGUAGGCAGCUUACUAAGCCAUAACUGACGCUCAUGCACGAAAGCGUGGGGAUCAAACA
Molecule: ribosomal RNA, 421 nt
Filed under: uncultured Dysgonomonas sp.
Lineage: Bacteria; Pseudomonadati; Bacteroidota; Bacteroidia; Bacteroidales; Dysgonomonadaceae
Description: bacterial SSU rRNA
Rfam family: Bacterial small subunit ribosomal RNA
Source: RNAcentral